Molecule: ribosomal RNA, 579 nt
Filed under: uncultured bacterium
Lineage: Bacteria
Description: partial 16S ribosomal RNA
Rfam family: Bacterial small subunit ribosomal RNA
Source: RNAcentral
UGGGGAAUUUUGGACAAUGGGGGAAACCCUGAUCCAGCCAUCCCGCGUGUGCGAUGAAGGCCUUCGGGUUGUAAAGCACUUUUGGCAGGAAAGAAACGUCGCGGGUUAAUACCCCGCGAAACUGACGGUACCUGCAGAAUAAGCACCGGCUAACUACGUGCCAGCAGCCGCGGUAAUACGUAGGGUGCAAGCGUUAAUCGGAAUUACUGGGCGUAAAGCGUGCGCAGGCGGUUCGGAAAGAAAGAUGUGAAAUCCCAGAGCUUAACUUUGGAACUGCAUUUUUAACUACCGGGCUAGAGUGUGUCAGAGGGAGGUGGAAUUCCGCGUGUAGCAGUGAAAUGCGUAGAUAUGCGGAGGAACACCGAUGGCGAAGGCAGCCUCCUGGGAUAACACUGACGCUCAUGCACGAAAGCGUGGGGAGCAAACAGGAUUAGAUACCCUGGUAGUCCACGCCCUAAACGAUGUCAACUAGCUGUUGGGGCCUUCGGGCCUUGGUAGCGCAGCUAACGCGUGAAGUUGACCGCCUGGGGAGUACGGCCGCAAGGUUAAAACUCAAAUGAAUUGACGGGGUCAUAGCUG